The sequence is a signal recognition particle RNA, 91 nucleotides long. It matches the Rfam family "Bacterial small signal recognition particle RNA". From Rfam's summary of the family: The signal recognition particle (SRP) is a universally conserved ribonucleoprotein involved in the co-translational targeting of proteins to membranes.
CGGGUCCUAUGCAACGCGGGGUGGUGAAUCCCGCCAGGGCCGGAAGGCAGCAACGGUAACCGGAACCUGCGUGUGCCGUAGGGUGCCUGGC